This 488-nucleotide ribosomal RNA is filed under the name uncultured bacterium. Its description in RNAcentral is "partial 16S ribosomal RNA". It matches the Rfam family "Bacterial small subunit ribosomal RNA", at positions 28 to 507 of the family's 1533-position model. The record is from RNAcentral.
GACGAACGCUGGCGGCGUGCUUAACACAUGCAAGUCGAACGGAAAGGCCCUGCUUUUGUGGGGUGCUCGAGUGGCGAACGGGUGAGUAACACGUGAGUAACCUGCCCUUGACUUUGGGAUAACUUCAGGAAACUGGGGCUAAUACCGGAUAGGAGCUCCUGCUGCAUGGUGGGGGUUGGAAAGUUUCGGCGGUUGGGGAUGGACUCGCGGCUUAUCAGCUUGUUGGUGGGGUAGUGGCUUACCAAGGCUUUGACGGGUAGCCGGCCUGAGAGGGUGACCGGCCACAUUGGGACUGAGACACGGCCCAGACUCCUACGGGAGGCAGCAGUGGGGAAUAUUGCACAAUGGGCGGAAGCCUGAUGCAGCAACGCCGCGUGCGGGAUGACGGCCUUCGGGUUGUAAAGCCCUUUUGUUGGGAAAGAAAAGCAGCAGGUUAAUACCCCGCUGUUCUGACGGUACCCAAAGAAUAAGCACCGGCUAACUUCGUG